ACGAACGCUGGCGGCGUGCUUAACACCUGCAAGUCGAACGGAAAGGCCCUGCUUUUGUGGGGUGCUCGAGUGGCGAACGGGUGAGUAACACGUGAGUAACCUGCCCUUGACUUUGGGAUAACUUCAAGAAACUGGGGCUAAUACCGGAUAGGAGCUCCUGCUGCAUGGUGGGGGUUGGAAAGUUUCGGCGGUUGGGGAUGGACUCGCGGCUUAUCAGCUUGUUGGUGGGGUAGUGGCUUACCAAGGCUUUGACGGGUAGCCGGCCUGAGAGGGUGACCGGCCACAUUGGGACUGAGAUACGGCCCAGACUCCUACGGGAGGCAGCAGUGGGGAAUAUUGCACAAUGGGCGGAAGCCUGAUGCAGCAACGCCGCGUGCGGGAUGACGGCCUUCGGGUUGUAAACCGCUUUCGCCUGUGACGAAGCGUGAGUGACGGUAAUGGGUAAAGAAGCACCGGCUAACUACGUG
RNAcentral lists this ribosomal RNA (467 nucleotides) under uncultured bacterium. RNAcentral describes it as "partial 16S ribosomal RNA". It matches the Rfam family "Bacterial small subunit ribosomal RNA", at positions 29 to 507 of the family's 1533-position model. The record is from RNAcentral.